This 76-nucleotide transfer RNA is filed under the name Bacteroidota bacterium. RNAcentral describes it as "Bacteroidetes bacterium tRNA-Gly". It matches the Rfam family "tRNA". From Rfam's summary of the family: Transfer RNA (tRNA) molecules are approximately 80 nucleotides in length. Their secondary structure includes four short double-helical elements and three loops (D, anti-codon, and T loops). The record is from RNAcentral. RNAcentral also lists the same sequence under 13 other names. Lineage: Bacteria; Pseudomonadati; Bacteroidota.
GCGGGUGUAGCUCAGUUGGUAGAGCAUCAGCCUUCCAAGCUGAGGGUCGCGAGUUCGAGUCUCGUCGCCCGCUCCA